AUUGAACGCUGGCGGCAUGCCUUACACAUGCAAGUCGAACGGCAGCACGGGAGCAAUCCUGGUGGCGAGUGGCGAACGGGUGAGUAAUAUAUCGGAACGUGCCCAGUAGUGGGGGAUAGCCCGGCGAAAGCCGGAUUAAUACCGCAUACGACCUGUGGGUGAAAGCGGGGGAUCGCAAGACCUCGCGCUAUUGGAGCGGCCGAUAUCAGAUUAGCUAGUUGGUGAGGUAAUGGCUCACCAAGGCGACGAUCCGUAGCUGGUCUGAGAGGACGAUCAGCCACACUGGGACUGAGACACGGCCCAGACUCCUACGGGAGGCAGCAGUGGGGGAAUAUUGCACAAUAGGGCGGAAAGGACCUCGAUAGCAGCAAUAGCCGCG
RNAcentral lists this ribosomal RNA (379 nucleotides) under uncultured bacterium. Its description in RNAcentral is "bacterial SSU rRNA". It matches the Rfam family "Bacterial small subunit ribosomal RNA", at positions 29 to 401 of the family's 1533-position model. The record is from RNAcentral.